AUGAACGCUGGCGGCGUGCCUAAUACAUUCAAGUCGAGCGAACAGACGAGGAGCUUGCUCCUCUGACGUUAGCGGCGGACGGGUGAGUAACACGUGGAUAACCUACCUAUAAGACUGGGAUAACUUCGGGAAACCGGAGCUAAUACCGGAUAAUAUAUUGAACCGCAUGGUUCAAUAGUGAAAGACGGUUUUGCUGUCACUUAUAGAUGGAUCCGCGCCGCAUUAGCUAGUUGGUAAGGUAACGGCUUACCAAGGCAACGAUGCGUAGCCGACCUGAGAGGGUGAUCGGCCACACUGGAACUGAGACACGGUCCAGACUCCUACGGGAGGCAGCAGUAGGGAAUCUUCCGCAAAGGGCGAAAGCCUGACGGAGCAACGCCGCGUGAGUGAUGAAGGUCUUCGGAUCGUAAAACUCUGUUAUUAGGGAAGAACAAAUGUGUAAGUAACUAUGCACGUCUUGACGGUACCUAAUCAGAAAGCCACGGCUAACUACGUG
Molecule: ribosomal RNA, 496 nt
Filed under: uncultured bacterium
Lineage: Bacteria
Description: partial 16S ribosomal RNA
Rfam family: Bacterial small subunit ribosomal RNA
Source: RNAcentral